ACUGCUUCUCCACCUUUUGUCUAAGAUCAAGCUUAGUAUCUGCUCUUAUCAGUUUAAUAUCUGAUAUGCCGUUUUAUCCGAGAUUAAUAUAAAUGGAUUUUUGAAACUAGGAGAUGGAAUAGGAGCUAGAUCAGUCCACAACACACAUAUCUAUCUGAUAUUACAGUACCUCCAGGAAUGGUGCACACACA
Molecule: small nuclear RNA, 191 nt
Filed under: Dasypus novemcinctus (nine-banded armadillo)
Lineage: Eukaryota; Metazoa; Chordata; Mammalia; Cingulata; Dasypodidae
Description: U2 spliceosomal RNA (ENSDNOG00000047165.1)
Rfam family: U2 spliceosomal RNA
About the family: U2 is a small nuclear RNA (snRNA) component of the spliceosome (involved in pre-mRNA splicing). Complementary binding between U2 snRNA (in an area lying towards the 5' end but 3' to hairpin I) and the branchpoint sequence (BPS) of the intron results the bulging out of an unpaired adenosine, on the BPS, which initiates a nucleophilic attack at the intronic 5' splice site, thus starting the first of two transesterification reactions that mediate splicing.
Source: RNAcentral